This 363-nucleotide transfer-messenger RNA is filed under the name Salmonella enterica subsp. enterica serovar Oranienburg. It matches the Rfam family "transfer-messenger RNA". From Rfam's summary of the family: Bacterial tmRNA, also known as 10Sa RNA or SsrA, is named for its dual tRNA and mRNA-like properties. Its role is to liberate the mRNA from a stalled ribosome. To accomplish this part of the tmRNA is used as a reading frame that ends in a translation stop signal. The record is from RNAcentral. RNAcentral also lists the same sequence under 10 other names. Lineage: Bacteria; Pseudomonadati; Pseudomonadota; Gammaproteobacteria; Enterobacterales; Enterobacteriaceae.
GGGGCUGAUUCUGGAUUCGACGGGAUUUGCGAAACCCAAGGUGCAUGCCGAGGGGCGGUUGGCCUCGUAAAAAGCCGCAAAAAAAUAGUCGCAAACGACGAAACCUACGCUUUAGCAGCUUAAUAACCUGCUUAGAGCCCUCUCUCCCUAGCCUCCGCUCUUAGGACGGGGAUCAAGAGAGGUCAAACCCAAAAGAGAUCGCGCAGAUGCCCUGCCUGGGGUUGAAGCGUUAAAACGAAUCAGGCUAGUCUGGUAGUGGCGUGUCCGUCCGCAGGUGCCAGGCGAAUGUAAAGACUGACUAAGCAUGUAGUACCGAGGAUGUAGGAAUUUCGGACGCGGGUUCAACUCCCGCCAGCUCCACCA